Molecule: small RNA, 284 nt
Filed under: Arabidopsis thaliana (thale cress)
Lineage: Eukaryota; Viridiplantae; Streptophyta; Magnoliopsida; Brassicales; Brassicaceae
Description: ATSL287740
Source: RNAcentral
UAUAUAAAUAUAUAUUUGUUUGUUUACGUGAAUAAUUUCUAACAAUCCCAUUAACUUUGACUAGUAAGAAUUAAUUUGAAAAACAAUAAUAUAUAUAUAUUAAAAGUUAUACUAAAACUUUUAAUAUUUGUAGGAAUGCCCUACAGAUAUAAAACAUUUAUGCCCUUUAUUUGUUUUUUGCAUAAUCAAAAAAUUAAUAGUAUAUAAAAGUUAUACUAAAACUUUAUAGAUUUUUUUUUUUGAACUUUAUAAGCAUUUUGUAAGCAAAAAAAUAGGAAAAAAAA